Phascolarctos cinereus (koala) is the source of this 3015-nucleotide non-coding RNA. The record is from RefSeq and is a predicted model, not a curated record. Lineage: Eukaryota; Metazoa; Chordata; Mammalia; Diprotodontia; Phascolarctidae.
CAACUAUAGCAUUCUGUGUUCUAAGGUUCCUUGCAGUUCUAAUAUUCUGUGGGUAUUAUGAUACAUGAGCUUUGAGGAUUUCAUACAAAAAAGUGACAGCUUCUUUAAAAAAAAAUCUUGACUGGCCUCUGUUUCCCUUUCUUCUACCCUGGGAUAAUUCAAUGUGUCCACCUUUUCUGGGGUGGCAUGACAAGAGAAUGUCAGAGGAGCAGAAACAGAGGAAGGGGAUGAUGUUGUCUCUUCACUCCAGGGACAUCUCUAUUCUUUCUUCCUUAGCUUUCUUCCUUAGUUCCUGUUCUGAAUUUCUCUUGUAGUUGAAAAUUGUAAUUAGUUAAAUUGAAAGCUACCUGAAAUUGACAUCAAGAGAACUGGAAAUUCAUUCAGACUGUAGUAGGGCUCUAAAACUGAAUCCUAUUCCAUUUUGGAGACCACUUUUCUCCUAGCUGAACUAUCAACAUCCACCAGAUGUUUCUCUCCACCGGACAGAAACCUAACAAAAAUCUUUGGCUCUCCUAUGAACUCCAUUUGCCCCAUUUCUCCUUUCAAUUCUGAUAACAUUAUAUCAAGAUGGACAUGUAAUCAUUCACUGGAUUGUGACUUAAUCUUAUUAGACUUGAGUUUCAUUCAAUGCAAGUAUCUCCUUGAUGGGGUUCCAGAAUACAUUUUGUUCGCAUUAGCAACACAUUCACAAACCACCUCUUAGACCUGGAUGUGUCACUCCUCUUAAUCUUAGGUGGCUCCCUAUUGUCUAGAGGAUAAUGUUAAAAGUCUAGCAUUCAGGGUUGAAUCUGGCACCACCCUUCCAUUCCAGACUUAUUUCAUAAUUCUAUCCCUCGCUGUGCUGGGACUUGACUACUCUCUGUCCCCAAAAAAUGGCAUACAUUCCUUUUUGGGCAUGCUACUCCCUGUGCCUGGCAUGGGCUCUUUCCUUCUUCCCCUUUAAAGUCUCAAAUCAAGUGUCACCCAUUACAUGAAGCUUUUACUGAUCCUUCUAAGUUGGUAAUGACCUUCUCUGACUGAUCUCACAUAAUAUGUGGCUUUGAGCCUCACUCAAGCUAAUCUAGAACUACACUGCAUUGUAAUUUUUGUCUUCCUGUCUUACCUCUUCCCCACUCAGGCUGUAAACUCCAAGAGGACAGGGGCUCUGGUUUAUCUAACCUUAGUAUCUCCCCAACCUCAACUCCCAGCAAGUGCUUUUCAAAUAGUAGGUGCCUCAUGUCUGCUGAACUGAAUUGUAUAAUUGAAUUCUGUGUCUCAUGCCAAUCUCAUUCUGUGUUUUGAGGAAGGGAUUUGGACAUUUUAAAACACUUUAUACGUAUGAACCAUUUUCAUUAUUAUUAUUUUCUGCUUAUUACAUCCUUUAGUUUUAAUUAUAGCCAUACUUCAUUUUAUUGUGCUCUGCAGAUAUUGCAUUUUUUACAAAUUUAAGGUCUGAGCAACCCUGCAUCAAGCAAGUCUCACAUUGUGUCUCUCUCUAUGCUAUAUUUUAGUAAUUCUUGUAAUAUUUCAAACUUUUUCAUUAUUAUUAUUUCUGUUGUGUGAUCUGUGAUGAAUGAUCUUUGAUGUUACUAUUGUCAUUGUUUUGGGGCACCACACCCACAUAAGGCAGUGAAUUUAUUUGAUAAAUGUGUAUGUUCUGACUGUUCCACUGACCUGCCAUUCCUCAUCUCUCUCUUGCUCUCCUUGGGCCUUCCUAUUUCCUGAGACACAAAAAUAUUGAAAUUAGGCCAAUUAAUAACCCAACAAUAGCCUCUAAAUGUUCAAGUGAAGAGUCAAUUGAUAAAGCAAACUUCAUUGUCGUCUUAUUUUAAGAAAUUUCCACAGCCACCCCAGCCCUUCAGCAACCACCACCCUGAACAGUCAGCAGCCAUCAAAGUCAACGCAAGACCCUCCACCAGCAAAAGGAUUACACUCGCUGAAAGCUCAGAGCUUUUAGGAUAGCUGCUUGAUCGCCCUUCAUCUACUCUGUCCUGAUGUGUCUUCAUGGUCAUGGCCAAGUCUACUAUGUUCCCUACUGACUCUGCCAUGCUAAUAAGGCCACAGGCUCAGACAGAACAACCUUCUAGAAGUACUUGGCUACUUCAGUGACCCAAGUAGCAGAACCGUGCCAGAUAUGGAUGAAGAAGCACCAUCUUGGUUUUCUCCCAAAGAGGGUCUGGGACCACAUAUGUACUUCUUCAAAGCAAAAAACACAAGAAACAACCUCUGACUCCUACUCGACAUACAGUGUUGAGUAAUCAUUCCCUUCACCAGUGAAGAAAGACUCAUCUAACCAGCACCCCAAUAGCACCACUGGGCUUUGAAACCCGGGUGACGCAUGCAAUUGUCUUGCCUGACACCACCACCACCAAUAACCUUAUUAUUGGAAGGAAGGUGCUACAGGUAGUAUCAUGUCAAUUUUACAGCUGAGAAAACUGAAGUUCAGAGAGUUUGAUUGACUUGUCCAUAAUCACACAGUUAGAAAAUGUCAAAGACAAGAGUUGAACUCAGGAGGAGAAUCUUAGAACUUAGUGGCCAUGUAGUCCAACUCAUACUUGAAAAGGAUCUCUCUCUCUCUCUCUCUAAAACUUCCCUCUCAAGCAGUCAUCCAGUCCUUUCUUGAAGAUAUAAAAUAAGGGGGAAACCAGUCUUCCUAGGUGGUCCUAUUACUGCAGGAUAGUGCUAAUCAUUAGCAAGGAUUUCCUUCCAUCAAAUCUCUAUUUCCAUCUUUGCAGUUUCCACCCAUUGAUCUUAAUUUUGCUUUCUGGGGCCAAGUAGAACAAACCUAAUCCCAUCUUCCCUUCAAAUACUGGAAGACAGCUAUCCUGAUCCCCCUGAGUCUUCCCUUCUCCAGGCUAAACAUUUUGAUUUCCUCCAUCCAAUUCUCAAAUGGCAUGAACUCAAAGUUCUGGCAAGGGCCCAGGUCUCUGCUGACUCUGAGUCCAACAUUUGUCCCACUAAAUCAUGCUCCAUCUUUGAAAGCAUAGAGAUUUCAGUUGGUUUGCUGAUCUGCUUGUUUUUCUCUUUCUUUUUAAA